Molecule: ribosomal RNA, 245 nt
Filed under: uncultured Bacteroidota bacterium
Lineage: Bacteria; Pseudomonadati; Bacteroidota
Description: uncultured Bacteroidetes bacterium partial 16S ribosomal RNA
Rfam family: Bacterial small subunit ribosomal RNA
Source: RNAcentral
UACGGAGGAUGCGAGCGUUAUCCGGAAUCAUUGGGUUUAAAGGGUGCGUAGGCGGCCUUUCAAGCCCGGGGUGAAAAUCUGGGGCCCAACCCCAGACCUGCCUCGGGAACUGGCUGGCUGGAGUACGCUUGCCGCGGGAGGAAUGAGUGGUGUAGCGGUGAAAUGCAUAGAUAUCACUCAGAACACCGAUUGCGAAGGCAUCCCGCGAAGGCGCAACUGACGCUGAGGCACGAAAGCGUGGGGAU